RNAcentral lists this small nuclear RNA (191 nucleotides) under Sander lucioperca (pikeperch). RNAcentral describes it as "U2 spliceosomal RNA (ENSSLUG00000024199.1)". It matches the Rfam family "U2 spliceosomal RNA". Rfam says of the family: U2 is a small nuclear RNA (snRNA) component of the spliceosome (involved in pre-mRNA splicing). Lineage: Eukaryota; Metazoa; Chordata; Actinopteri; Perciformes; Percidae. The record is from Rfam by way of RNAcentral.
AUCGCUUCUCGGCCUUUUGGCUAAGAUCAAGUGUAGUAUCUGUUCUCAUCAGUUUAAUAUCUGAUAUGUCCUCCAUCAAGGGACAACAUAUUAAAUGGAUUUUUAGCAAUGGGAGUUGAAAAAGGGGCUUGCUCCAUUCACUCCACGCAUCGACCUGGUAUUGCAGCGCCGCUGGGAACGGUGCACCCUUC